RNAcentral lists this ribosomal RNA (422 nucleotides) under uncultured prokaryote. RNAcentral's name for it is "bacterial SSU rRNA". It matches the Rfam family "Bacterial small subunit ribosomal RNA", at positions 355 to 774 of the family's 1533-position model. The record is from RNAcentral.
UGAGGAAUAUUGGUCAAUGGGCGAGAGCCUGAACCAGCCACGUAGCGUGAAGGAUGAAGGUCCUAUGGAUUGUAAACUUCUUUUAUAGUAGAAUAAAGUGAUCCACGUGUGGAUUUUUGUAUGUAUACUAUGAAUAAGGAUCGGCUAACUCCGUGCCAGCAGCCGAGGUAAUACGGAGGAUCCGGGCGUUAUCCGGAUUUAUUGGGUUUAAAGGGUGCGUAGGCGGAAUAAUAAGUCAGUUGUGAAAGUUUGCGGCUCAACCGUAAAAUUGCAGUUGAUACUGUUAUUCUUGAGUGUACAUAAGGUAGGCGGAAUUCGUGGUGUAGCGGUGAAAUGCUUAGAUAUCACGAAGAACUCCAAUUGCGAAGGCAGCUUACCGGGGUACAACUGACGCUGAGGCACGAAAGUGUGGGUAUCAAACA